RNAcentral lists this ribosomal RNA (383 nucleotides) under uncultured organism. RNAcentral's name for it is "partial 16S ribosomal RNA". It matches the Rfam family "Bacterial small subunit ribosomal RNA", at positions 367 to 762 of the family's 1533-position model. The record is from RNAcentral.
CGCAAUGGGCGAAAGCCUGACGGAGCAAUACCGCGUGAGGGAUGACGGCCUAUGGGUUGUAAACCUCUUUUUUCAGGGAGGAAAAAAUGACGUGUACCUGAAGAAUAAGCAUCGGCUAACUCCGUGCCAGCAGCCGCGGUAAGACGGAGGAUGCAAGUGUUAUCCGGAAUCACUGGGCGUAAAGCGUCUGUAGGUGGUUUAAUAAGUCAACUGUUAAAUCUUGAGGCUCAACUUCAAAAUCGCAGUCGAAACUAUUAGACUAGAGUAUAGUAGGGGUAAAGGGAAUUUCCAGUGGAGCGGUGAAAUGCGUAGAGAUUGGAAAGAACCAACAAUGGCGAAAGCCACUCUACUGGGCUAUCCACCCGUUUUUUUUGUGAGAGCCC